GUGUGUGCAUAAGAUCAUGCAAGCAUCCAUGCGUCCGUAUCAAUACAAAUGCACGUGUGUGUGUUUGUGCAUGUGUGAGCACAACUGUAUUCACAUGGGUAGGCAAGCACAUUUAUGAUCACUGAAACCAUCCACUGGGUUACUGGCAGUCAAAUCCUGUUGGAGACUUAGUUUGAUUCCUUCACUGCAAACAUGGCAUUUAUGGAGAAAAUGUCCCCCAAGUAACUAGCUCAAGCAAGUACAAUCCACUGUUGCAUAAAUUGCUCUUUGUCUGAUACCUCCAUGGCAAGUGUGAAGAUAGGUCCGAGGAUGAAUGUCACAGGAAAGCCCCUUUUCUCCUGCUGCGUAUUAUGCAUUGUGCCCAGGAAGAAUACCAUUUCCCAGGUACAGACAAAUGGCACAAGCAAGCUUUGCUGCUCUGUCUACAAGACCCAGGCACUAUCCAAGAUGCUGGAAGAGAAUUUUAUCAAAACUCUGUUGCUGACAGGGCUCUUGCUUCAUGGUGCUUCCGAAGACCAUUUGCUUUGCUGGAUUUGCAGAUACAGUAUGAGACUGAACAUCAGGCCACCCGCAGAAGGGAAAUUAAUGGAGUACUGGUGUGAAGGAGAAUGCAAGUGCAUUUAAAGCGAUUGAAGAUGGUCUACUGCUCACAGUCCAGCUGCUCCAUUCCUGGAAUCUUUGUGACAAGGGAGGUGUCCAGGAUGGGAGGUCUCCAUGAUCCCAAGAAUGCUACAAUUGCUUUAGGCCCAAUUCCCCUACGUGGCAGAUUGCUGGGCCGCAGUCACGAGAAAUAGACGUGUCCGAAGCUGGGAAUGGGCGACAGGGGAUGGAUCGCUGGCUGAUUACCUGUUCUGUUCAUUACCUCUCUGGCACCUGGCAUUGGCUACUGUUGGAAGACAGGAUACUGGGCUAGAUGGACCUUUGGUCUGAUCCACUAUGGCUGUUCUUAUGUCACUUCUUCUAGGGCACAAUACAAUAAAUGUAGCCUGUGGGGAAAACUGGAUAAAAGAAAAAUGUGAGGGCAGCACCUGGAAAGCAGCAGUGCAGCUUUUAACUGGAAAGAAGCGCUGCACAGAAGAUUGCCCUGCUCACUAGAUCUGAUUAGAGAUUUAGGAAGAGUGUGUUUCCGGGGUUAGAGCAAGGGAUUGGGUGUCAGGACACCUGUCUUUUCUCAGCUCUGCCACUGCCUUUGUGUGCAACUGUGGAUACAUCUGUGUCACUCAUCUGUAACGUGGGAACAGUAAUGCAUACAUGGUGUAGUUAGUAUAAGAAUCUGAAAGGGCUGGCUAAGAAUAGACUGCCUUCACUACAGGCGUGUUGCAAGUCUAAAUUCACUCAUAUUUAUGUGCUUUGAGAUUCUCAGUUUAAAAAUAGUCUAGAAGUGGGAAUAUGAACCUUUCUUUGAUUUUAACUUUGUAGUCCUUUCUAUCUUUGUAUUUUUCUUCUUACUCAAGUGAAACAGUAAAAAACCUUUUUAAAAAGUUGCUCCCAGGGGCUGAUCUCCUGAUCUCGGUUAUAUAAUUAUAAUGCCAUAGACGCCAUUGGAGAUGCUCCAGAUUUGCACUGUUGCAACUGAGAUCAAGAUCUAGCCCCAGGAUUUCGUAAGAACUGGUAAUCAGCUGCUCUUGCUGCAGAGGAAAGUGCCAGAGCUCCCUAUCCAAAUUCCAUUGACUCAGCUCUGUGAAUGAACCCUAAGGAACUGGUAUAGGCUCACAGUACAGAUAGCCUGGGGCCAACAGUCUAAUCCAUUAGUCAUUAACUAUUGCUCUUAAUAAUGGCUAAUGUCAAGGGAACAUUAAUUACUUGAUCAUUAAAGCAUUAAAAUACGGUGUACAGUUUGUAAUUUUACCAAAUGCACUUUUUAAAAAAAAAUUGCUGCUCUCAAGCUGGUCACAUUCACCAGGAACAUGAACAGAAUUAGUCACCUCUGUGUAGAGAAAGGGUUUUCUUUCUGGUCCAUUUGGAAUGGACUUUUUGUAUCUGCUCUAAAGUACUGAGGAAUAUGAGUUGGAAGAAGGCAUUAAUGGCUGCAGCAAAGCUUCCCGGCAUUAAGUAGCUAAUGAUGAUGGUGGCAACUUUCCUGAGUUUUCAAAAAUUAUUAGUGGCAAGUUCACAAAAUUCAGCAAAACACGAUGAGCGUUUUCUAAAUCAGACUGUUUCCCUUCCCUCACUUUUGCCUUAGGUGAAAAUGUGCUGUAUUGCACCUUGAAAGAGUAUGAGGAAAAAUGAAUUUUUGUGUGCAUCACAAACAUUAGCAUCCCUUGGUCUUUCACUCUUUUAUCCAAAGCAAGACCAGCAAACAUCCAGACAAAAUCAGUCUAAUGUGGUUUUAUAAACGUAAUGGAUAAUGCUAUUUCUAGACAUUCUUGAGUUUGUAGGCUCAUUCAACAUAACUCAAAAAUGUUUGAGAUAACAGAGAUACAAUAGAAAAAGAAAAGGUUUUUUUCCCCUCCCUACUACCUUUUAAACCAAUGUGUACCACAAAGCAAUGAGCAAGACACAGCAAUGCAGUUGCCUGGUACAGACACAGAUAGAGACCAUUUUUUGCUGAGCCAUAGCCUAUAUGCAUCCUCAGAGGUUAGAACCUGUUAUGUCAUGAGUAAGGCUAAGAUUUUGUCAUGGGUAUUUUUAGUAAAAGUCACAGACAGAUCACGGGCAAUAAAGAAAAAUUCACAGAUGCCCGUGACCUGUCCCUAACUUUUACUCAAAAUAUCCAUGACAACAUGGGGAGCUGUGGAGGUCUCUGAAAGUCAUGGAUUCUGUGACUUCAGCAACCUCCAUGACAAAAUCAUAACCUUAGUCAUGAGUAGGGAUAUUGAGGGGCUAUUCCCUCACCUUUUUUUUUGAAAGUUGCCACAGGCUCUUCACUUUGCCCAUGUAAAGUCACCAGAAGUGGUCGGAUAGAGACCUCUCUUCUGUACAGAAGGAUUUUGAUUAUUUAUCUGCCUUGUAGAGUCCUUUUGCUGCAAAAGAAAAAAAGGAAGUAGGAUGAUAACUAGGGAAGUAAACGCAAGCCGAGGGUCUGACCCUGCAAAUCUUUACUAGCACAGGUAGACUUUACUUGGGUGAGUAGCCAAAUUCAGUGGAGACAACUGAUCUGUUUUCAGGCAAACGAAAAAGAAGAUUGAAGUGUCAUAAGGGAACAUUCUUGACUCAAAUCAGCCUCCGAGAGAGGCUUUGACUUCACCACAAGUUUAAUUUUAUAUUUAGCAAACAAAAUUUUGCUCUUACAAUGGAUUUAUAACAAAUAACUGACUAUCUAAGACUCACAUUUAUCCGCCCUACAGGAGAAUAGGGGCUAAAAACCCAGAACCAAAUGCUGAAUGCUUUAGUCACACCUUAGCAGAGUUCACUUAGGUAAAAUAUUAAUUGAAGUCAAUGGGAUUUUGCCUUAGUAACAACUGUAAGAUUUAGUGGUUCCCUUGAAUUUAUUAAGAAUUAGAUUAUUCCAGCAGAGCCACUUCACAAAAGGGAUAAUGAAAAAAAUGACUAAAAAAGGACCUCAGGGUCAGGAGAAUCAGUGACAUGAACAGGGUAGGAAGGUAAGUUUGCUGAUGGUGAGAAGGUAAAGCUGUAAGCAGAAACAAGACAGUGAGAACCCGAUAAAGCAACAGCUGCAUUUCAUUGUGUCUCCUUUUACAAUGUGACUAACAUCUUGCACUUCUGUAUUUGGUAGUGCCUUUUCUUCAGAGGAUCUCAACGGGUUUCUUAUGCACACAUGAAGAAUAUCAGCACCCCUCUGAAGGUAAAUAUUACAGCCAUUUUACAGAUAGGAAAACUGAAGCACAAAGUGGUAGUAACUUUCUCAUGGUCACAUUGCAAGCCACUGGUAGAUCACCCAAGAAGCUUGACUCCCAAUUCUGGAUUCUAAUUACUAGACCACAUCCCAUGCAAUGUUACAUUCUUAGGUUGAGAAUUCAGCCAAUAGGCUGCAUUGGCAAUAUUCAGAUAUUAAUGUAGCAGAAUAUUGGAUAUUUCAGUGGGACCACCAUCAAUUGCAUUUAGAAUUAUGAACUUUUAUUGGCUGGAGAAGGAAAUGCAGCAAGUCCACAGGGACAGAAAAUUUCUAAUACAUUUUGUGGCACUCUGAGUAAGCAAUUCAUCAAUGCCAUCCUGAGCAAUCAGUCAUCCUUGGAAACAAGGAAAUACUUCAGGUUCUGAAUCAAUGUCCCUUCAUGGUGUUGAAUGAGUAGAAAAUAAAUAAUCAUCAUGAAAUUGUGAUGUGCUGGACAGAAAGUGUCCCAGGAUUUAUGAUAAAAUCGACUAUUUGCCUGUCUUAAGGUUUUCUAUAGCAUCCGGGACCUUAGUGUCUACACGCUUAUGUGCUAAAAUACACAUGCUAAUAUUUGGAAUCCUUGUAACAUGUAUAAUUAUCAUAGCAUAUUUUAGGAAUUACACUCAGAAGAUUUUCACCAUCGAAUAUAAGUGACUAACAUCAGACAAAGACUGAAAUUCACAGUACCAGGAGGGCAGGCUCUCUGGUUAUCUGGUCUCAUGUUUAACCUAAAAUGUGUCACACCACAAUAUACCAUUUUUUCCAGGUCUCAGAUAUUUGGGAUUCUUACAGUUCACAUUUCUCUAGUUUUCUGUUUGUUGUAUUUGAGCUGCCUUACUUGCAAAGGAAAUAGAAUGAUAGGUAAAUGCCAUUAAAAUGUCCAGCAAGAAGUUCUUUUAAUCCAAAAAUACUUGCUGUGUUGCUACUGAUUGUACAAUAUAAAGGUUGACAAAAGUAGAUAUUGCACCAGUGCAUAUAUUUUAGGAUUCAGUAAAGGUAGAUGUUCAUUGUUUCUACAUACUCUAAAUGAUAACACAGACUAAUAAUUUUAUGAGCAUAUUUGCUGGGCAGAGUAAAAAUGUUGUGGAGAAAAGGCCCUUCUCUGCUGUGGUAUAAAUGGGAUAUAUGAUGGUAGAAGGUGCAAUAAACUUUCUAUUUUCACGACUUGGGGAUAACAAUGUAUAACCCAUUCAUUGACUGUUUCCACCACUUCCCAUCUCUGUCUAUGGUGCAAAUAUGAUUGAUUUUUAGAGCCCACCAAGGGAAUUAGUUACACAACUCCCGCUGUAAUUAGCAGGAGCUGUGUAAUUAAAUGCCCUAGUUGGCUUUAAAGUCUUGGCCCUUAUACAAAUCUACUACAACUUUCGACACUAAUGAUCCAAAAUGCUUUAAUAAUCUGAUAAGGAUCUGCAGUGUGUUAGAUUAUAGAAGAAUACAGUAGCACUUUUUAAAUAAAGAAGUAUUUUGUACAUUUCCCUGCAGACAAGAAACAAUAAAAAUCUUGGGGCCAAUCCUGCAGUCCUGACUUCUGUAAAACAAAC
Long non-coding RNA from Dermochelys coriacea (leatherback sea turtle), 5316 nucleotides. RefSeq lists it as uncharacterized. The record is from RefSeq and is a predicted model, not a curated record. The transcript is spliced from 2 exons. Lineage: Eukaryota; Metazoa; Chordata; Testudines; Dermochelyidae.